AGUACGUGAAACUGCUUAGAGGUUAAGCCCGAUGAACCUGAAUAUCCAUUAUGGAAAAUUCAAUAUUAAAUUUGUUUAUAUAUAUCAUAUAAUAAAAAUAGUAUGCAAUUUUUCCAUAUAAGGACAUUGUAAUCUGUUAAUGAAAAUAAAUAUUUAUGAAAAGAUCCGUUUAACAUAAGCUUAUUCAAAUUGAAUUGUUUAUAAAAAUAAUUGAACAUAAAAUAAAUGUAUUGGAUUUAAUAAAUCAUUGACAGAUAUAAUUAUAUAAAGUGCUUAAAUUCUAUUUAUAGAAUUUUACAAUGAUAGAUAAAUCUAUUGAUUUAAUUUAUUUGAUUGUAUGCGCUUUUAUGAUUAACAAUGCUAUAGAUUCAGGAUACCUUCGGGACCCGUCUUGAAACACGGACCAAGGAGUCUAACAUAUGUGCAAGUCAUUGGGUAUUUUUAAUAAAACCCAAUGGCGUAAUUAACUUAACUUAAUAAAUAAAUAUGGGAUUAAUUUAUAUUUUGUCAUGAGGUAUUUAUUCAAUCCCGGGGCGUUCUAUAUAGUUAUGUAUAAUAAUAUUUUAUAUUAUUUAUACCUCUAACUAGAGCGUACCUUGAGC
RNAcentral lists this ribosomal RNA (602 nucleotides) under Salpingogaster pygophora. RNAcentral describes it as "eukaryotic LSU rRNA". Lineage: Eukaryota; Metazoa; Arthropoda; Insecta; Diptera; Syrphidae. The record is from RNAcentral.